RNAcentral lists this unclassified non-coding RNA (378 nucleotides) under plant metagenome. RNAcentral describes it as "partial contains 5.8S ribosomal RNA, internal transcribed spacer 2, and large subunit ribosomal RNA". The stretch from base 1 to 105 matches the Rfam family "5.8S ribosomal RNA", at positions 50 to 154 of the family's 154-position model. The record is from RNAcentral.
GAAAUGCGAUAAGUAAUGUGAAUUGCAGAAUUCAGUGAAUCAUCGAAUCUUUGAACGCACCUUGCGCUCCUUGGUAUUCCUUGAAGCAUGCCUGUUUGAGUAUCAUGAAAUCUUCAAAGUAAAUCUUUUGUUAACUCAAUUGGUUUCUACUUUGGUAUUGGAGGUCUUUGCAGCUUCACACCUGCUCCUCUUUGUUCAUUAGCUGGAUCUCAGUGUUAUGCUUGGUUCCACUCGGCGUGAUAAGUUAUCUAUCGCUGAGGACACUGUAAAAGGUGGCCAAGGUAAAUGCAGAUGAACCGCUUCUAAUAGUCCAUUGACUUGGACAAUACUUUUAUGAUCUGAUCUCAAAUCAGGUAGGACUACCCGCUGAACUUAAGC